GCACAGUGAUGCGUAGUCCCAGCCACUCAGGAGGCUGAGGCAGGAGGAUCACUUGAGCCACAGGAGUUGUGGGUUUUAGUGCAUUAUACCAGUUGGGUGUCUGCCUUAACUUCGGCAUCAGUAGAAUGACCUCUUAGAAGCAGGGGCCACCAGGUUGCCCAAGGAGGGUGAGCCAGCCCGGGUUGCAAAUAGAGCAGAUCAAACAACUCUCCUAUGCUGAUCAGUAGUGAGAUUGCACCUGUAAAAAGCCACUGCACUCUAGCCUGGACAACAUAAUGAAACCUGUCUCU
Molecule: signal recognition particle RNA, 290 nt
Filed under: Cebus imitator (Panamanian white-faced capuchin)
Lineage: Eukaryota; Metazoa; Chordata; Mammalia; Primates; Cebidae
Description: Metazoan signal recognition particle RNA (ENSCCAG00000000302.1)
Rfam family: Metazoan signal recognition particle RNA
About the family: The signal recognition particle (SRP) is a universally conserved ribonucleoprotein. It is involved in the co-translational targeting of proteins to membranes.
Source: RNAcentral